GUGCUUGCUUUAACAGCACAUAUACUAAAAUUGGAAUGACAGGGAGAAGAUUAGCAUGGUCCCUGUGCAAGGAUGACAUACAAAUUCAUGAAACAUUCUGUAUUUUU
RNAcentral lists this small nuclear RNA (107 nucleotides) under Catagonus wagneri (Chacoan peccary). The record is from RNAcentral. Lineage: Eukaryota; Metazoa; Chordata; Mammalia; Artiodactyla; Tayassuidae.